AUCCUCACCUGGCAGGAGAGAGACCAUGGCCGUAAAAAUGAUUUCACAGACCAAGACUGAUCACUGUGCUCAGACGUGCUGACACCUUUGAUUUCCCCAAACGCAGGAAGCUCAGCUGUGUAGUUGUAGUAUGCGGACUUGGUUCCCAUAUUCCCUG
This is a small nuclear RNA of Microtus ochrogaster (prairie vole), 157 nucleotides long. Its record names the gene U1. It matches the Rfam family "U1 spliceosomal RNA". Rfam says of the family: U1 is a small nuclear RNA (snRNA) component of the spliceosome (involved in pre-mRNA splicing). Its 5' end forms complementary base pairs with the 5' splice junction, thus defining the 5' donor site of an intron. The record is from Ensembl. Lineage: Eukaryota; Metazoa; Chordata; Mammalia; Rodentia; Cricetidae.